Long non-coding RNA from Arvicola amphibius (Eurasian water vole), 1164 nucleotides. RefSeq lists it as uncharacterized. Lineage: Eukaryota; Metazoa; Chordata; Mammalia; Rodentia; Cricetidae. The transcript is spliced from 2 exons. The record is from RefSeq and is a predicted model, not a curated record.
GCCAUAGUGAGUCUCCAUGCUUCUCCUCUCCGAGAUGGACGCAGGUUAAGAUCUCUCCUGGGAUCCUCUUCAUUUCUCAAACCAAGUACUCACAUACUCUGAGAUUAUCUUGAUCAUCUGUCUGCAGGGACACAACAUCUGAUCCCGAAGCUACAACUGCUGCAAGCUCUCGGUGGAUUUCUCAGGAGUUCACUGUCAUUUUCCAGGACCUGUCUGGGACAGUCACAUGGAUCAGACUAAUUAAAUGAAUUAGAAGGAAAUGUUGUCUGGGAGUAGAGACUAGUGAUUGUGCACUUGCCUAACAAGCACGAAGCCCUGAGUUUAACCCAAACACUAAAAAUAAAUAAAUUUAUUAUUGAAGACUAUUACCUCCAGAACCUUGAAUUUUCUAAGAGUGGUAAUAAUUAUGGCAUUCCAAUCCAACCCCUUCCCUGAGAUGCAAGGCGUUUUGGAAACUGUGAUCCUUAAGGAUUUUGGAGACCAUUUCUUUAUUUGAAGGGAUUGGCUGGGGGGGGACAUUUUAUUAUACAAGGGAAGAUGAGAAAUUUAAAACUUGCUUACUAACAGCACAGUACUUGCCUCAUUGGUCAAAGAACUGAGUAGAUUCUGUGUCCCUCACCAAGUAUGCAAAUGCCAAUUAUACUGGUCCCUGUUCUCCCUCAGUAUAACACAGAAGCCAUGCUGAUGUUUUGAAUCAAUGAAUAUGAACAUCUGUCAACCUGAAUCCAACAACAGUCUUCAGAAAUGUCUUUCUGACUCCCCCUGCCUCAACUAUAUGAUUGUCUGAGAAAAUGGCUAAGGAUCCUGUACUGGCUAGUGCUAGUCUUGUCAACUCAACACAAGCUAGAAUUAUACGGGAAGAGGGAAUCACAAUGGAGACUAUGCCUCCAUAAAAUUAACCUCAUGGCAAGUCUUCACUGUAUUUCUUUAUUAGUUGUUGAUUAAUGUAGAAGUAAUCAGCCCAUAAGGGUGGAGACAACCUUGGCUACAAGUCCUGGUAACAACAAGACAGCAAGCAAUCCUGUAAGCAGCACUCCUCCGUGACCCCUACAUCGGCACCUGCCUCCAGGUUCCUGCCUUGUUGAAAUUCCUGUCCCACUGCCUUCCAUGAUGAACUGUGAUGUGGAAGUGGAAGUGAAAUAAACUCUUUCUUCCCCAAGCCAA